UCCGUAGGUGAACCUGCGGAAGGAUCAUUAAAAAAAGAGAAACGUCCCGUUUUUUUCAUAAGAAUGGGUUCUAUUCCCUUAAACCGUGUCUACAUACCUUUGUUGCUUUGGCAGGCCGCCUUCGGGCGUCGGCUCCGGCUGAUAGUGCCUGCCAGAGGACCCAAACUCUAUGUUUAGUGAUGUCUGAGUACUAUAUAAUAUUUAAAACUUUCAACAACGGAUCUCUUGGUUCUGGCAUCGAUGAAGAACGCAGCGAAAUGCGAUAAGUAAUGUGAAUUGCAGAAUUCAGUGAAUCAUCGAAUCUUUGAACGCACAUUGCGCCCCUUGGUAUUCCGAGGGGCAUGCCUGUUCGAGCGUCAUUAUAACCACUCAAGCCUGGCUUGGUAUUGGGGCUUUCGCGUGUUCGCGGCCCUUAAAAUCAGUGGCGGUGCCGUCUGGCUCUAAGCGUAGUAAUUUCUCUCGCUAUAGGGUUCCGGUGGUUACUUGCCAAAACCCCCCAUUUUUUCUAGGUUGACCUCGGAUCAGGUAGGGAUACCCGCUGAACUUAA
RNAcentral lists this ribosomal RNA (548 nucleotides) under Hyaloscypha variabilis. RNAcentral's name for it is "eukaryotic LSU rRNA". The stretch from base 206 to 359 matches the Rfam family "5.8S ribosomal RNA". Lineage: Eukaryota; Fungi; Ascomycota; Leotiomycetes; Helotiales; Hyaloscyphaceae. The record is from RNAcentral.